AUAAUCAUUUGCCAUUUAAUUGGUGGCUGGAAUGAAUGAAUAUACGAGAGCAUAACUGUCUCUUAUUUAUAAAUAAAAAUUGACCUUCAAGUGAAGAGACUUGAAUCUUUUAAAAAGACGAAAGACCCUAUAGAGCUUUAUCAAAAAGAGAGCUUUCUUUCCUAUGAUUUUGUUGGGGCAACAAGAGAAAAUCUAAAUCUUCUCUAUAAUUUUGUAUACAGAUCCGCUAUGCGAUCAUUAAAUAAAGCUACCAUAGGGAUAACAGGCUAAUUCUUUUUGAGAG
Molecule: ribosomal RNA, 283 nt
Filed under: Pygospio sp. GF-7949_19305
Lineage: Eukaryota; Metazoa; Annelida; Polychaeta; Spionida; Spionidae
Description: partial large subunit ribosomal RNA
Rfam family: Bacterial large subunit ribosomal RNA
Source: RNAcentral